Molecule: ribosomal RNA, 443 nt
Filed under: uncultured bacterium
Lineage: Bacteria
Description: partial 16S ribosomal RNA
Rfam family: Bacterial small subunit ribosomal RNA
Source: RNAcentral
CCUACGGGGGGCUGCAGUGGGGGAUAUUGGACAAUGGGGGAAACCCUGAUCCAGCGACGCCGCGUGAGUGAAGAAGUAUUUCGGUAUGUAAAGCUCUAUCAGCAGGGAAGAAAGAAAUGACGGUACCUGAUUAAUAAGCCCCGGCUAACUACGUGCCAGCAGCCGCGUGAAUACGUAGGGGGCAAGCGUUAUCCGGAUUUACUGGGUGUAAAGGGAGCGUAGACGGUAAUGCAAGUCUGGAGUGAAAGGCGGGGGCCCAACCCCCGGACUGCUCUGGAAACUGUGUAACUGGAGUGCAGGAGAGGCAGGCGGAAUUCCUAGUGUAGCGGUGAAAUGCGUAGAUAGUAGGAGGAACACCAGUGGCGAAGGCGGCCUGCUGGACUUUAACUGACGUUGAGGCUCGAAAGCGUGGGGAGCAAACAGGAUUAGAUACCCGAGUAGUC